This 400-nucleotide ribosomal RNA is filed under the name uncultured bacterium. Its description in RNAcentral is "bacterial SSU rRNA". It matches the Rfam family "Bacterial small subunit ribosomal RNA", at positions 129 to 524 of the family's 1533-position model. The record is from RNAcentral.
CCUGAUGGAGGGGGAUAACUACUGGAAACGGUAGCUAAUACCGCAUAACGUCGCAAGACCAAAGAGGGGGACCUUCGGGCCUCUUGCCAUCAGAUGUGCCCAGAUGGGAUUAGCUAGUAGGUGGGGUAAUGGCUCACCUAGGCGACGAUCCCUAGCUGGUCUGAGAGGAUGACCAGCCACACUGGAACUGAGACACGGUCCAGACUCCUACGGGAGGCAGCAGUGGGGAAUAUUGCACAAUGGGCGCAAGCCUGAUGCAGCCAUGCCGCGUGUGUGAAGAAGGCCUUCGGGUUGUAAAGCACUUUCAGCGAGGAGGAAGGCAUUAAGGUUAAUAACCUUAGUGAUUGACGUUACUCGCAGAAGAAGCACCGGCUAACUCCGUGCCAGCAGCCGCGGUAAU